RNAcentral lists this ribosomal RNA (465 nucleotides) under uncultured bacterium. Its description in RNAcentral is "bacterial SSU rRNA". It matches the Rfam family "Bacterial small subunit ribosomal RNA", at positions 36 to 518 of the family's 1533-position model. The record is from RNAcentral.
CUGGCGGCGUGCCUAACACAUGCAAGUCGAGCGAGGAGAUCCUUCGGGAUGAUCCUAGCGGCGGACGGGUGAGUAACACGUGGGCAACCUGCCUCAUAGAGAGGAAUAGCCUUCCGAAAGGGAGAUUAAUACCUCAUAACAUUGCAGUUUCGCAUGGAACAGCAAUUAAAGGAGUAGUCCGCUAUGAGAUGGGCCCGCGGCGCAUUAGCUAGUUGGUGAGGUAACGGCUCACCAAGGCGACGAUGCGUAGCCGACCUGAGAGGGUGAUCGGCCACAUUGGGACUGAGACACGGCCCAGACUCCUACGGGAGGCAGCAGUGGGGAAUAUUGCACAAUGGGGGAAACCCUGAUGCAAGCAACGCCGCGUGAGUGAUGACGGCCUUCGGGUUGUAAAGCUCUGUCUUCAGGGACGAUAAUGACGGUACCUGAGGAGGAAGCCACGGCUAACUACGUGCCAGCAGCGGC